GGGCUCGUAGCUCAGUUGGUAGAGCAUCCGGCUCAUAACCGGACGGUCGGCGGUUCGAUCCCGUCCGAGCCCACCA
Molecule: transfer RNA, 76 nt
Filed under: Fervidobacterium thailandense
Lineage: Bacteria; Thermotogati; Thermotogota; Thermotogae; Thermotogales; Fervidobacteriaceae
Also listed under: 1 other name
Description: tRNA-Met
Rfam family: tRNA
About the family: Transfer RNA (tRNA) molecules are approximately 80 nucleotides in length. Their secondary structure includes four short double-helical elements and three loops (D, anti-codon, and T loops).
Source: RNAcentral